This 162-nucleotide non-coding RNA is filed under the name Peptostreptococcus russellii. RNAcentral describes it as "Lysine riboswitch". It matches the Rfam family "Lysine riboswitch aptamer". Rfam says of the family: Riboswitches are metabolite binding domains within certain messenger RNAs that serve as precision sensors for their corresponding targets. Allosteric rearrangement of mRNA structure is mediated by ligand binding, and this results in modulation of gene expression. The record is from RNAcentral. Lineage: Bacteria; Bacillati; Bacillota; Clostridia; Peptostreptococcales; Peptostreptococcaceae.
AAAGGUAGAGGAGCAAGUAUUAUUAGUAACUGCGUAAAAGAUUGAAGCAUCUGUAGCGAAAGGAGUAUUUGCCGAAGUGGUGUAGUUAGCUUUAUGACUAUAUCUACUGGGGGUGUGUAUAAUAUGCACAUCACUGUCACAGUAUUUCUGUGUUGGGCUAUC